RNAcentral lists this long non-coding RNA (467 nucleotides) under Lactuca sativa (garden lettuce). Its description in RNAcentral is "long non-coding RNA (LSAT_LNC004401)". Lineage: Eukaryota; Viridiplantae; Streptophyta; Magnoliopsida; Asterales; Asteraceae. The record is from RNAcentral.
AUACAGUUAUCAAUCACAUGUGAUUUAUAUAAUAACUGUAUAAGUCAACUUGUAUUCCCCCCCCCCUUAUAUAAGCAUGUAAAAACAUUUAAAAGGUUAAUUCAGGGGUAUGAACUCACCUGUUGUAAGUGGAUUGGGCUGAGGUGCCGGUUGGAUACUCGGUGUCAUGUAAAGACUUGAACACAUUGUGUGACCUAUUAACAUAUGAUGACAUAUGUUUACAUACAAUUAGUAANUAAAGACUUGCACAUUGUGUGACCUAUUAACAUAUGAUGACAUAUGUUUACAUACAAUUAGUAAUUAUAAUACUAAUUAAACAUGUAUACACAUCCUAAUGUGCGGAAAACACUUUGGUCAAGUGCUAGGGGUGUCCCGGGUAGCAUCUAAGGGUGUGUAUGGCCUAGUUAGGGAGUUUACUCUUCAAGAGUAAACUCUUUAUAGAGUUUACGACCCUAAGACCAUAUCCC